This 432-nucleotide ribosomal RNA is filed under the name uncultured bacterium. Its description in RNAcentral is "partial 16S ribosomal RNA". It matches the Rfam family "Bacterial small subunit ribosomal RNA", at positions 29 to 506 of the family's 1533-position model. The record is from RNAcentral.
AACGAACGCUGGCGGCAUGCCUAACACAUGCAAGUCGAACGAGACCUUCGGGUCUAGUGGCGCACGGGUGCGUAACGCGUGGGAACCUGCCCUUAGGUUCGGAAUAACUCCCCGAAAGGGGUGCUAAUACCGGAUAAUGUCUUCGGACCAAAGAUUUAUCGCCUUUGGAUGGGCCCGCGUUGGAUUAGCUAGUUGGUAGGGUAAAAGCCUACCAAGGCGACGAUCCAUAGCUGGUCUGAGAGGAUGAUCAGCCACACUGGGACUGAGACACGGCCCAGACUCCUACGGGGGGCAGCAGUGGGGAAUUUUGGACAAUGGGCGAAAGCCUGAUCCAGCAAUGCCGGGUGAGUGAUGAAGGCCUUAGGGUUGUAAAGCUCUUUUACCCGGGAUGAUAAUGACCGUACCGGGAGAAUAAGCCCCGGCUAACUCCGU